RNAcentral lists this ribosomal RNA (659 nucleotides) under Lentinula edodes (shiitake mushroom). RNAcentral's name for it is "eukaryotic LSU rRNA". The stretch from base 220 to 373 matches the Rfam family "5.8S ribosomal RNA". The record is from RNAcentral. Lineage: Eukaryota; Fungi; Basidiomycota; Agaricomycetes; Agaricales; Omphalotaceae.
AUUGUUGCUGGCCUUUGGGUAUGUGCACAUCCUCCUCCGAUUUCUAUUCAUCCACCUGUGCACUUUUUGUAGGAGUUCUUUCAUCGGGUUUUUGAAGGUGCUCAUUAUGAGUUACUUGAAAAGACUAGUUGACAAGGCUUCUAUGUUCUUAUAAACCAUUGAAGUAUGUUAUAGAAUGAUCUUGUUAUUGGGACUUUAUUGACCCUUUAAACUUAAUACAACUUUCAGCAACGGAUCUCUUGGCUCUCCCAUCGAUGAAGAACGCAGCGAAAUGCGAUAAGUAAUGUGAAUUGCAGAAUUCAGUGAAUCAUCGAAUCUUUGAACGCACCUUGCGCCCUCUGGUAUUCCGGAGGGCAUGCCUGUUUGAGUGUCAUUAAAUUCUCAACUUUAUAAGUUUUUUACUUAUUAAAGCUUGGAUGUUGGAGGCUUGCAGGCGUUUGUCAGCUCCUCUUAAAUUUAUUAGUGGGAACCCUGUUUUGUUAGUUCUAACCUUGGUGUGAUAAUUAUCUACAUUUUGGUGGAACCUUACAAUAAUAAAGCUCUAUUGGUUUGGGUUGUUGCAUUUAGUUUGCUCAAUCUGUUCUAUUCAUUGGAGAAAAAGGGAAGUUCUGCUUUCUAACUGUCUUGAUUGACUAUAUAUAACUUAUUUGCUUGACCUC